GAUGAACGCUGGCGGCGUGCCUAAUACAUGCAAGUCGAGCGAACAGACGAGGAGCUUGCUCCUCUGACGUUAGCGGCGGACGGGUGAGUAACACGUGGAUAACCUACCUAUGAGACUGGGAUAACUUCGGGAAACCGGAGCUAAUACCGGAUAAUAUAUUGAACCGCAUGGUUCAAUAGUGAAAGACGGUUUUGCUGUCACUUAUAGAUGGAUCCGCGCCGCAUUAGCUAGUUGGUAAGGUAACGGCUUACCAAGGCAACGAUGCGUAGCCGACCUGAGAGGGUGAUCGGCCACACUGGAACUGAGACACGGUCCAGACUCCUACGGGAGGCAGCAGUAGGGAAUCUUCCGCAAUGGGCGAAAGCCUGACGGAGCAACGCCGCGUGAGUGAUGAAGGUCUUCGGAUCGUAAAACUCUGUUAUUAGGGAAGAACAAAUGUGUAAGUAACUAUGCACGUCUUGACGGUACCUAAGCAGAAAGCCACGGCUAACUACGU
This 496-nucleotide ribosomal RNA is filed under the name uncultured bacterium. Its description in RNAcentral is "partial 16S ribosomal RNA". It matches the Rfam family "Bacterial small subunit ribosomal RNA", at positions 28 to 506 of the family's 1533-position model. The record is from RNAcentral.